RNAcentral lists this ribosomal RNA (792 nucleotides) under Paenibacillus sp. ES10. Its description in RNAcentral is "partial 16S ribosomal RNA". It matches the Rfam family "Bacterial small subunit ribosomal RNA", at positions 237 to 978 of the family's 1533-position model. The record is from RNAcentral. Lineage: Bacteria; Bacillati; Bacillota; Bacilli; Caryophanales; Paenibacillaceae.
CGCAUUAACUAGUUAGUGGGGUAACGGCUACCAAGGCGACGAUCGUACCGACCUGAGAGGGUGAACGGCCACACUGGGACUGAUACACGGCCCAGACUCCUACGGGAGGAUAGCAGUAUGGAAUCUUCCGCAAUGGGCGAAAGCCUGACGGAGCACGNGUGAGUGAUGAAGGUUUUCGGAUCGUAAAGCUCUGGUUGCCAGGGAAGAACGUCCGGUAAGUAACUGUCUGCCGNAGUGACGGUUACCUGAGAAGAAAGCCCCGGUNUAAUCUACGUUGCCANCAGCCGCGGCUAAUACGUAUCGGGGCAAGCGUUGUCCGGAAUUAUUGGGCUGUAAAGGGCGCGCAGGCUGGCUGCUUAAUGUCUGGUGUUNAAAACCUUGGGUCUCAACCGUGUCGGUCGUCACUUGNAAUAUCUGGGUCAGCUUGAUGUACAGAAGAGGAAACGUGGACAUUCCAUCGGUGUAUGCGGUUAAAUUGCGGUAGACGAUGUGUAUCGAACACCACUGGCGAAUGCCGACUUUCCUGGGCAUGUAACUGACCGCAUAGGGGCGAAAGCUCUGGGGAGCACUACCNGAUUAUUGUNCUAGUCCACGCCGUAACCAAUAAGUGCUNGGUGUAGGGGUUUCGAUCCCCUUUGUNCCGAAGUUUUAACNACGAGUUAAAGCAUCGUCNGGCCUGGGGAAGCUACGNGUCUGAAAGACUGAAUCUCAAAGUGANCUUGACGGGGNNCCGGAUCAAAGCCGUGGGNGUUAUUGUGGUUUUAAUUUGAAGCACGCAAGAACCUUACCAGG